Molecule: long non-coding RNA, 1257 nt
Filed under: Homo sapiens (human)
Lineage: Eukaryota; Metazoa; Chordata; Mammalia; Primates; Hominidae
Description: HSALNT0015439
Source: RNAcentral
CUGCCUUGGCCUCCCAGAGUGCUGGGAUUACAGGCCUGGCCUAAAAUUAAAUUAAAAAAAAUUAAGCUCCUUAAUUGCACUAGUCACAUUUAAAGUUUUCAAUAGCCACAUGUGACUAGUGGCUACUGUACCGGAGAGCAAAUACAGAACAUUUCCAUCAUUGUAGAAAGUUCUGGCUGGGCACGGUAGCUCAUGCCUGUAAUCUGAACACUUUGGGAUACUGAGGCAGGCAGAUCACUUGAGGUCAGGAGUUCAAGACCAGUCUGGCCAACAUGACAAAACUCCGUCUCUACUAAAAAUACAAAAAUUAGCCGGGUGUGGUGGCGGGCGCCUGUAGCUGAGACAGGAGAAUCGCUUGAACCCGGGAGGCGGAGGCUGCAGUGAGUUGAGAUUGCACCACUGCACUACAGCCUGGGUGACAGAGCAAGACUCCGUCUCAAAACAAACCAAACCAAACCAAACCAAAAACAUAAAAAAAUUCUAUUUAAUAGUACUACUCUGGAUAGGGACUACUUCCUGCAGAGCCUAUACUUAAAGCUUCUUGUUGAAAGGUCCUUUGGAAUGAUCUGUCAGAGAUUCAUCUUCAGCAACUUCCAUUUACUCUUGGAAAAUGGUGCCUUUUGCUGCUUUCCUGAGUCAGGGAGGAAUCCAGUCACUCCAAGGCUUAAGGUAGCCGAAGCAGACACCCUUGUUUAUUUUUGGUCAGUGAGCCCAAUGGUUCAGGGUGGGGGUGUAAGGGUGUUAUAUUUAACUGCUGAAUUUAUGCAUAGCCAUGCAAUGCUACCAAAGCCCUUACAGUUGCAUGGCACUGCCCUCCAGACGCCCAGCCACAGCUUGGACAUAUCCUUCCACAGCCACUGUCCGGACUUGCAUAUAAAUUCUAUGAAUAAUAAAGAGCAGGUUUUAUUUCAGGUCUGAAUAGGAUUAUCUCUCACUGUAAAUUUGAAAAAGAGAACCCCUAACUCAAAUUACUCAGUAUUCUUGCUCCACUUUACUGGUAAAACUUUAGGUGCUGUGGAAAUGAGGGUCACUCUACUCUGUAUAUUUUAGCAUUGAAAACCUUUGACUGCUGGGCGCGGUGGCUCAAGCCUGUAAUCCCAGCACUUUGGGAGGCCGAGGCGGGUGGAUCACGAGGUCAGGAGAUCGAGACCAUCCUGGCUAGUAUGGUGAAACCCUGUCUCUAUUAAAUAUACAAAAAAAUUAGCUGGGUGUGGUGGCGGGCACCUUUAGUCCCAGCUGUUCGGGAGGCUGAGGCAG